CAGAGCCCGCCAGCUGCUAAGCCGGGGCCACACCUGGGGGUGACGUCAUGCCUCACCUCCAGUAGGCACCUUGGUCUCUUGCACUAACUCUUGCUCUUGCCCAGCUAAUCCCUGCCUGGCCCUGGCUGCCCAGGGGCUGACCACUAACAGCCAGCCCUGCCCAUCGGUUGGGGUGGGGCGGCUCCAGGCUCCGGGCCUGGCUUUGGCCGGCUCUCAGCUCACCUCUCCUUCUCCUUGACUAACUCCUGCCUCCCUGGUCUGUUCCUUUUAGCAGAAACUAAUGGCUUGCGGAUCCCUCUUGGACUAACAACGGGUCUAACCCUUCUCCUCACUGUGACCAUUAACAGCUUGGUGUCAGCAUGGCUGCC
Ictidomys tridecemlineatus (thirteen-lined ground squirrel) is the source of this 368-nucleotide unclassified non-coding RNA. The record is from Ensembl. NCBI's taxonomy places the organism in Eukaryota, Metazoa, Chordata, Mammalia, Rodentia, Sciuridae.